RNAcentral lists this ribosomal RNA (585 nucleotides) under uncultured bacterium. RNAcentral describes it as "partial 16S ribosomal RNA". It matches the Rfam family "Bacterial small subunit ribosomal RNA", at positions 355 to 1375 of the family's 1533-position model. The record is from RNAcentral.
UGGGGAAUUUUGGACAAUGGGCGAAAGCCUGAUCCAGCAAUGCCGCGUGUGUGAAGAAGGCCUUCGGGUUGUAAAGCACUUUUGUCCGGAAAGAAAUCCUUGGCUCUAAUACAGUCGGGGGAUGACGGUACCGGAAGAAUAAGCACCGGCUAACUACGUGCCAGCAGCCGCGGUAAUACGUAGGGUGCAAGCGUUAAUCGGAAUUACUGGGCGUAAAGCGUGCGCAGGCGGUUUGCUAAGACCGAUGUGAAAUCCCCGGGCUCAACCUGGGAACUGCAUUGGUGACUGGCAGGCUAGAGUAUGGCAGAGGGGGGUAGAAUUCCACGUGUAGCAGUGAAAUGCGUAGAGAUGUGGAGGAAUACCGAUGGCGAAGGCAGCCCCCUGGGCCAAUACUGACGCUCAUGCACGAAAGCAUGGGGAGCAAACAGGAUUAGAUACCCUGGUAGUCCACGCCCUAAACGAUGUCAACUAGUUGUUGGGGAUUCAUUUCCUUAGUAACGUAGCUAACGCGUGAAGUUGACCGCCUGGGGAGUACGGUCGCAAGAUUAAAACUCAAAUGAAUUGACGGGGUCAUAGCUGUUUCCU